This 439-nucleotide long non-coding RNA is filed under the name Vulpes vulpes (red fox). RNAcentral describes it as "lncRNA (ENSVVUG00000000033.1)". Lineage: Eukaryota; Metazoa; Chordata; Mammalia; Carnivora; Canidae. The record is from RNAcentral.
CUAGGGUAAAAUGGAAGUUGUGAUGGCAGAGAAAAAAAGAAUAAACAGAUACACUAAACACAUGAGAUAGACAAAAGCAGCCUCUCAUACUUGUAUCCUUUCUACAGAAAUAUACAGGUGAAGAGGUUCAGGACACCUGAAAGAGCAGGGAAAAAACUUCACACAGAAGAUGGCCUCUCAGAUGUAGGUGAAGAUACAGGGAAAGAACAUGACACUGGAGAUGGGGAAGAGCUGCAGCUCGAGCACAGACAUUUCGAAGUCCUUCCUUUUGCUGGGACCUACGAGAGAAGAGAAAGGAGAUAUUCCAUCAGCCAGAAGAUCAACCUGGAACCAGUUCUCCCUCCCCAGCUGUGGAAAACCAAGAAGCCCCGAAGACCUAUGCACCAAUCAGCCAGUUUCUGAAUUUGGCCCAAGACAAGGAGGCAUCCAGUGGACUUGA